GGAAAGGUUUACGGUGGAUACCUAGGCACCUAGAGACGUGGAAGGGCGUAGUAAUCGACGAAAUGCUUCGGGAAGUUGAAAAUAAGCAUAGAUCUGGAGAUUCCUAAAUAGGGAAACCUUUCGAACUGCUGCUAAAUCCAUGGGCUGGCAAGAGACAACCUGGCAAACUGAAACAACUUGGUAGCUAGAGGAAAUGAAAGCAAAAGCGAUUCCCGUAGUAGCGGCGGGUGAAAUGGGAGCAGCCUAAACCGUGAAAAUGACGUUGUGGGAGAGCAAUACAAGCGUCAUGCUGCUAGGCGAAGCAGCCCGAAUGCUACACCCAAGAUGAUGAAAGUCCAGUAGCCAAAAGCAUCACUAGCUUAUGCUCUGACCCGAGUAGCAUGGGGCACGUGGAAUCUCGUGUGAAUCAGCAAGGACAACCUUGCUAGGAUAAAUACUCAUGGGUGAUCGAUAGUAAAGUAGUACCGUGAGGGAAGGGUGUAAAGAACCCCCAUCGGGGAGUGAAAUAGAACAUAAAACCGUAAGCUCCCAAGUAGUGGGAGGAGCCAGGGCUCUGACCGCGUGCCUCUUAAAGAAUGAGCCGGCGACUCAUAGGCAGUGGCUUGGUUAAGGGAACCCACCGGAGCCGUAGCGAAAACGAGUCUUCAUAGGGAAAUUGUCACUGCUUAUGGACCCGAACCUGGGUGAUCUAUCCAUGACUAGGAUGAAGCUUGGGUGAAACUAAGUAGAGCNGGGUGAAACUAAGUGGAGGUCCGAACCGACUGAUGUUGAAGAAUCAGCGGAUGAGUUGUGGUUAGGGGUGAAAUGCCACUCGAACCCAGAGCUAGCUGGUUCUCCCCAAAAUGCGUUGAGGCACAGCAGUUGACUGGACAUCUAGGGGUAAAGCACUAUUUUAGUGUGGGCUGCGAGAGCGGUACCAAAUCGAGGCAAACUCUGAAUACUAGAUAUGACCUCAAAAUAAUAGGGGUCAAGGUCGGCUAGUGAGACGAUGGGGGAUAAGCUUCAUCGUCGAGAGGGAAACAGCCCGGAUCACCAGCUAAGGCCCCUAAAUGAUCGCUCAGUGAUAAAGGAGGUAGGGGUGUAGAGACAGCUAGGAGGUUUGCCUAGAAGCAGCCACCCUUGAAAGAGUGCGUAAUAGCUCACUGAUCAAGCGCUCUUGCGCCGAAGAUGAACGGGGAUAAGCCUCCGUGCGAGCGGUGGUGGACGAAGCGGAAGCGAGAAUGUCGGCUUGAGUAAUACAAACAUUGGUGAGAAUCAAAUACCCCGAAAACCUAAGGGUUCCUCUUCAAGGUUCAUCUACUGAGGGUGAGUCAGGGCCUAAGAUCAGGCCGAAAGGCAUAGUCGAUGGACAACAGGUGAAUAUUCCUAUACUUCCCCUUGUUGGUCCUGAGGGACGGAGGAGGCUAGGUUAGCCGAAAGAUGGUUAUCGGUUCAAGAACGUAUGGUGUCCCUGCUUUGUCAGGGUAAGAAGGGGUAGAGAAAAUGCCUCUAGCUAAUGUUUGAAUACCAGGUGCUACGUNCCAGGCGCUACGGCGCUGAAGUAACCCAUGCCAUACUCCCAGGAAAAGCUCGAACGACUUUGAGCAAGAGGGUACCUGUACCCGAAACCGACACAGGUGGGUAGGUAGAGAAUACCUAGGGGCGUGAGACAAUUCUCUCUAAGGAAAUCGGCAAAAUAGCCCCGUAACUUCGGGAGAAGGGGUGCCUCCUCACAAAGGGGGUCGCAGUGACCAGGCCCGGGCGACUGUUUACCAAAAACAUAGGUCUCCGCAAAGUUGUAAGACCAUGUAUGGGGGAUGACGCCUACCUAGUGCCCGAAGGUCAAGGAAGUGGUGAUCUGAUGACAGGGGAGCCGGUGAUCGAACCCCCGGUGAACGGCGACCAUAACUAUAACGAUCCUAAGGUAGUGAAAUUGCUUGUUAGGUAAGUUCCGACCCGCACGAAAGGCGUAAUGAUCUGGGCACUGUCUCGGAGAGAGGCUCGGUGAAAUAAACAUGUCUGUAAAGAUGCGGACUACCUGCAACUGGAUAGAAAGACCCUAUGAAGCUUCACUGUUCCCUGGGAUUGGCUUUGGGCCUUUGCUGCACAGCUUAGGUGGAAGGCGAAGAAGGCCUCCUUCCGGGGGGGGGGAGUCAUUAGUGAGAUACCACUCUUGAAGGGCUAGAAUUCUAAACUUGUAUGAGGACCUACGGGCCAAGGGACAGUCACGGGUAGAUAGUUUCUAUGGGGCAUAGGCCUCCAAAAGGUAACGGAGGCGUGCAAAGGUUUCCUCGGGCAGGACAGAGAUUGGCCCUCGAGUGCAAAGGAAGAAGGGAGCUUGACUGCAAGACCCACUCAUCGAGCUGGGAUGAAAGUCAACCUUAGUGAUCCGACGAUGCCAAGUGGAAGGGCCGUCGCUCAGCGGAUAAAAGUUUCUCUAGGGAUAAUAGGCUGAUCUUCCCCAAGAGCUCAGAUCGACGGGAAGGUUUGGUACCUCGAUGUCGGCUCUUCGCCACCUGGGGCUGUAUUAUGUUCCAAGGGUUGGGCUGUUCGCCCAUUAAAGCGGUACGUGAGCUGGUUUCAGAAUGUCAUGAGACAGUUCGGUCCAUAUCUGGUGUGGGAGUUAGAGCAUUGAGAGGACCUUUCCCUAGUACGAGAGGACUGGGAAGGACACACCUUUGGUGUACAAGUUAUCGUGCUCACGGUAAAUGUUGGGUAGCCAAGUGCGGAGCGGAUAACUGCUGGAAGCAUCUAAGUAGUAAGCCCACCCCAAGAUGAGUGCUCUCCUAUUCCAACUUCCCCAGAGUCUCCGGUAGCACAACCGAGACAACGAUGGGUUCUCUGCCCCUGCGGGGAUGGAGUGACAGAAGUUUUUUUGAUAAUUCAAGAGAAGGUCACGACGAGAUGAGCCAUUUACCAUUACGAUAGGUGUCAAGUGGAAGUGCAGUGAUGUAUGCAGCUGAUGCAUCCUAACAGACCGAUAGACUUGAAC
Molecule: ribosomal RNA, 2971 nt
Filed under: Nicotiana tomentosiformis
Lineage: Eukaryota; Viridiplantae; Streptophyta; Magnoliopsida; Solanales; Solanaceae
Description: bacterial LSU rRNA
Rfam family: Bacterial large subunit ribosomal RNA
Source: RNAcentral